CAGCCAUACAGACCAGACUGACAGCCAGUGAAUGCAAGAAUGCAGAGUUGGAGUCCAAAAUCAACGCCAGUGAAAAUGUGGUCAAGGAGCUCCAGAGAGAGAACACAGUGUUGGAGGCCAGAAUGACCGCCAGUGAAAAUGAGAUGGAGGAGC
Long non-coding RNA from Scomber japonicus (chub mackerel), 153 nucleotides. RefSeq lists it as uncharacterized. The transcript has 3 exons. Lineage: Eukaryota; Metazoa; Chordata; Actinopteri; Scombriformes; Scombridae. The record is from RefSeq and is a predicted model, not a curated record.